Manacus vitellinus (golden-collared manakin) is the source of this 342-nucleotide long non-coding RNA. RefSeq lists it as uncharacterized. The transcript is spliced from 3 exons. NCBI's taxonomy places the organism in Eukaryota, Metazoa, Chordata, Aves, Passeriformes, Pipridae. The record is from RefSeq and is a predicted model, not a curated record.
GUGCUUCCUCUGUUUGGGAGGAUGGUGUGAUGAACAGUGUCUUUGCUCUCUCUGCCAGCCCACAACGAAACACAACUCAGCGUGGCAGGAACUGCAACCAGUCACUUGGCCGCAAGUCACAGAGCAGAGACACUGAUGAGUCCCAGAUGCUGGACUGUGAUCGAAUUCUGCACGGGGUAAAGGGUGGAAGGAUUUUCUGCAGCGAAUCCUCACAACCAGUCUGUGGCACUGAUGGGAAAACAUACAAAAAUGAAUGUGACUUGUGUUCAGCUGCCAUGAGAGCUUCAAACUUCAUCACGUUAAACUAUCAAGGCGAGUGCCGAGAGCCUGCCCCUGAAGUGG